GAGUAACUGUUGACAUCGUGACGGUAUCCAACCAGAAAGCCACGGCUAACUACGUGCCAGCAGCCGCGGUAAUACGUAGGUGGCAAGCGUUGUCCGGAUUUAUUGGGCGUAAAGCGAGCGCAGGCGGUUUCUUAGGUCUGAUGUGAAAGCCUUCGGCUUAACCGGAGAAGUGCAUCGGAAACCGGGAGACUUGAGUGCAGAAGAGGACAGUGGAACUCCAUGUGUAGCGGUGAAAUGCGUAGAUAUAUGGAAGAACACCAGUGGCGAAGGCGGCUGUCUGGUCUGCAACUGACGCUGAAGCUCGAAAGCAUGGGUAGCGAACAGGAUUAGAUACCCUGGUAGUCCAUGCCGUAAACGAUGAGUGCUAAGUGUUGGAGGGUUUCCGCCCUUCAGUGCUGCAGCUAACGCAUUAAGCACUCCGCCUGGGGAGUACGACCGCAAGGUUGAAACUCAAAGGAAUUGACGGGGGCCCGCACAAGCGGUGGAGCAUGUGGUUUAAUUCGAUGCUACGCGAAGAACCUUACCAGGUCUUGACAUCUUCUGCUAACCUAAGAGAUUAGGCGUUCCCUUCGGGGACGGAAUGACAGGUGGUGCAUGGUUGUCGUCAGCUCGUGUCGUGAGAUGUUGGGUUAAGUCCCGCAACGAGCGCAACCCUUAUUGUCAGUUGCCAGCAUUUAGUUGGGCACUCUGGCGAGACUGCCGGUGACAAACCGGAGGAAGGUGGGGAUGACGUCAAAUCAUCAUGCCCCUUAUGACCUGGGCUACACACGUGCUACAAUGGACGGUACAACGAGUCGCGAAACCGCGAGGUCAAGCUAAUCUCUGAAAGCCAUUCUCAGUUCGGAUUGCAGGCUGCAACUCGCCUGCAUGAAGUUGGAAUCGCUAGUAAUCGUGGAUCAGCAUGCCACGGUGAAUACGUUCCCGGGCCUUGUACACACCGCCCGUCACACCAUGAGAGUUUGUAACACCCAAAGCCGGUGAGGUAACCUUCGGGGGCCAGCCGUCUAAGGUGGGACAGAUGAUUAGGGUGAAGUCGUAACAAGGUAGCCGUAGGAGAACCUGCGGCUGGAUCACCUCCUUUCAA
RNAcentral lists this ribosomal RNA (1084 nucleotides) under uncultured bacterium. RNAcentral's name for it is "bacterial SSU rRNA". It matches the Rfam family "Bacterial small subunit ribosomal RNA", at positions 447 to 1533 of the family's 1533-position model. The record is from RNAcentral.